CGCAUCUGUGCAUGCAGCAUAUCAAUAAGCGGAGGAAAAGAAACUAACAAGGAUUCCCCUAGUAACGGCGAGUGGAGCGGGAAGAGCUCAAAUUUGAAAUCUUAAAGGGUUUCCCUUUACGAAUUGUAGUUUAAAGAAGUGUUUUCUGUUGAGGUUUUGGUAAAAGUUCUUUGGAAUAGGACAUCAUAGAGGGUGAGAAUCCCGUAUUUGACCUUUACUUUCAACUUUGUGAUACACUUUCAAAGAGUCGGAUUGUUUGGGAAUGCAGUCCAAAAUGGGUGGUAAAUUUCAUCUAAAGCUAAAUAUUGGCGAGAGACCGAUAGCGAACAAGUACCGUGAGGGAAAGAUGAAAAGAACUUUGAAAAGAGAGUUAAACAGUACGUGAAAUUGUCAAAAGGGAAGCGUUUGACACCAGUGUUGUUUUUCUGAAAAUCAAUUAAAGAACUGUUUAUGCUAAGUUGUUUAGACUUUAUCAGCUAACUGUUUAGUUUUGAGCUUUUCUUUAAUGCACUUUUCAGUUAACAAGUCAACAUCAAUUUCUUUUGCUGUAAAAAAGCUUGAGGAAGGUGGCUUGAGAUUCGUCUUAAGUGUUUAUAGCCUCUUGCCUAUGCAGUCGGAGAGAUUGAGGUCUGCAGCGUAGAUCCUUCGGGGCUAAAUGCAUUUGUGCUAAGUUAUAGCAUUUUAUAGACAACUUGUUGACUAUGAUUUGUCUUGUAGCUUACUCGCUUAUGUUAUUUUACCUACGCUUAGGAUGUUGAAUCUGUGCGAGACUAC
Molecule: ribosomal RNA, 774 nt
Filed under: uncultured Neocallimastigales
Lineage: Eukaryota; Fungi; Neocallimastigomycota; Neocallimastigomycetes; Neocallimastigales
Description: partial large subunit ribosomal RNA
Rfam family: Eukaryotic large subunit ribosomal RNA
Source: RNAcentral